UACGAAGGGGGCUAGCGUUGUUCGGAUUUACUGGGCGUAAAGCGCACGUAGGCGGAUCGUUAAGUCGGGGGUGAAAUCCUGGAGCUCAACUCCAGAACUGCAUUCGAUACUGGCGAUCUUGAGUCCGGAAGAGGUGAGUGGAACUCCUAGUGUAGAGGUGGAAUUCGUAGAUAUUAGGAAGAACACCAGUGGCGAAGGCGGCUCACUGGUCCGGUACUGACGCUGAGGUGCGAAAGCGUGGGGAGCAAACAGG
This 253-nucleotide ribosomal RNA is filed under the name uncultured bacterium. Its description in RNAcentral is "partial 16S ribosomal RNA". It matches the Rfam family "Bacterial small subunit ribosomal RNA", at positions 524 to 776 of the family's 1533-position model. The record is from RNAcentral.